ACCAGUUCCAAAUACAACUUACCUGUGAGCAGAGAGAGUAUUCGUUAACCCCUUUGAGCUUAAACAGUUGAAUCUCAGCUUGAAAUAAAGCGAGAUUUCAAAAAUCUUUUUUUUUACAACCCGGAAAAUUUUGAUAAUUGUUCUUUUGCCGUAAAAAGUCAAGAGCAUUCACUUAGGGUGAGUAAGAAAUAAGUUGGGGAGAACGAAAAUG
Molecule: long non-coding RNA, 211 nt
Filed under: Lathyrus oleraceus (garden pea)
Lineage: Eukaryota; Viridiplantae; Streptophyta; Magnoliopsida; Fabales; Fabaceae
Description: Pisum sativum (pea) long non-coding RNA (PSAT_LNC003917)
Source: RNAcentral